Long non-coding RNA from Daphnia pulex (common water flea), 920 nucleotides. RefSeq lists it as uncharacterized. The transcript is spliced from 3 exons. The record is from RefSeq and is a predicted model, not a curated record. Lineage: Eukaryota; Metazoa; Arthropoda; Branchiopoda; Diplostraca; Daphniidae.
UCAGUCACAGACAGUCAGACAGACAUGACAUUACACGUCGUCAUCGGAGAUCGGAUCAUCGGAUACCAAAUUAACUGUUUUUAAACAAUUUUAGCUGAAGUUUUCAUGUACAUGGCCAACUAGGUGCUCGUGACAAUAGAAAUGAAAUGGCCUAAUCCAGUUAAUGCAAGCUCACAACCUAUGUCUUCUGAAGAAAAAUCAUUUCUGUUGCAGCUUAGUUAUUUUACCAAAAAUAUUUUUAAUUACUGUGUUUUUCAAAACAAUAUAUUCACUUUUCCCUUUCAAGUUGUAAAUCUUCAAGAUAUUGAUGCCUUUACCAGAUCGGCAGAUCCAAUUACUUUGUUGCUAUCUAUUUUGCGGACAACAGCAAGAAAAUGCUGCUACUCAAGAUUUUAUGGUGUUUACCACUUUGUUCUAAUUUAGGACAAGGUUAAUCCCUUUCCUGUUAUAGUUGUUUGGAAACUGACAAGAGAUUGCUGAAAUUGAAGACUGAUAAUUUUUGUAGACGUAGAUAAGUUUCAAGUGCAUAUCUGUGCUCCCUUCUUUUCUGAGUCCCUGUUUCCCUAUCUAACCACUAACCAACGCUCGCCGGUGGUCACUCACCCGCUGUGAUAACCAGGAGGAGGGGAGGGCUCUGGUCGAACGGGAACUUGGAAGGCGCAUGAUCUGAGGGUCAUGAGUCUAACCAGGAAGUCUAUUACGACUAUAUCUCCCUAGUAAAACUUGCCUCGUACUUCGAAGGUGAUGCAAAAAUCUUUGGACUUCAUAGACGAAAGUGAUUAGAAGUGUGAAUUAAAACAAAGUUAUACGCAGGUUGUACGCCACAAAAUGAGAUAAAAAAUGAUGUUUGUUGACUCAGUAAAAUAUGUAAUUUGAUUAACUAAAAUUGCCGUAAAGAUUAAAUAUCGAUUUUUGGCUAA